Molecule: ribosomal RNA, 497 nt
Filed under: uncultured bacterium
Lineage: Bacteria
Description: partial 16S ribosomal RNA
Rfam family: Bacterial small subunit ribosomal RNA
Source: RNAcentral
GAUGAACGCUGGCUGCGUGCCUAAUACAUGCAAGUCGAGCGAACAGACGAGGAGCUUGCUCCUCUGACGUUAGCGGCGGACGGGUGAGUAACACUUGGAUAACCUACCUAUAAGACUUGGAUAACUUCGGGAAACCGGAGCUAAUACCGGAUAAUAUAUUUAACCGCAUGGUUCAAUAGUGAAAGACGGUUUUGCUGUCACUUAUAGAUGGAUCCGCGCCGCAUUAGCUAGUUGGUAAGGUAACGGCUUACCAAGGCGACGAUGCGUAGCCGACCUGAGAGGGUGAUCGGCCACACUGGAACUGAGACACGGUCCAGACUCAUACGGGAGGCAGCAGUAGGGAAUCUUCCGCAAGGGGCGAAAGCCUGACGGAGCAAAGCCGCGUGAGUGAUGAAGGUCUUCGGAUCGUAAAACUCUGUUAUUAGGGAAGAACAAAUGUGUAAGUAACUAUGCACGUCUUGAAGGUACCUAAUCAGAAAGCCACGGCUAACUACGUG